UUGCAAGUAACUCUUUACAACUUAGCCAUUAGUAUUCUCUAUUUUACCUGCGAACACCCGUUAAUAAUAAUACUUGUCCCUUCUUUGAAAUACUUUGAGAUCUGUGGUUGAAAUCAGUUACAUAAAGUUAAUUGCUAUAAAUUUACAGAGAGUUCUCAUUCUGAAAAGGUCAGUACCUGAGUUGUUCCUGUAUGCGUUUAUCUGAAGACUAUUAUGUGGGAGCACCCAAAUGCCAGGAAAGUAGCACAAAGGGGGGUUGCUUCUCAGCUAAGAUAGAAAGCAGAAAGAUGCUGCUGUAAUAAUUUACAUUGUGUUUUAUGAAAUUCCUGUUACACAAAAUGUCGAUCUGUAUAUGAUCUUUCCUAUUCUGCAUGUGAAGUCCUUUUGGUGCUAGCCAAAGUCCAUCUAGUAGAUCAGAGUAGUUCUAGAUACUUCUGAUGUAAGUUCAAAAAUGAGGAAUGCCUUUUUUUUUUUUUUUUUUUUCCCUGCAAGGCUGUGUUUUAGCAGUUCUAAUCAAACACUUACCCUAACUCCUCCUCUCCAAGGGCUUUUGUUUGUUUUGAGGUGUUUCCAAAAGCACUUACGUGUACCAGGGAGUUCUAAUUCUGAAACCCGGAUCUAAGGUCCUAGUUGAGUGUGCAACAGUUGCAGUCACCCCUAGAAAUAAAACUUGCUUUGCUAAAACUACAGUGAUAACUCUGGACAGACUCAAGACAAAAACUUUGGUAGUCUUUCACAGGUAAUAAAAUUGUUCCUAACAAGUUUUACUGACAAUGCUGAUGCAAUGGCAAGCAAAUAUGACUCAGUGGAGAAAGAGGAAAAGGAACUGGAAAUGUAUAUUCUUUCUCCUCAACUCCUUAUGGAAGAGUAUUUUUCCAACGAAAGGGAACGCCGAAGAAAUAUGUAAACAAUGUUCCAGAUUAAAAAGUUGCCUUAAGUACACCUGGUGGAAGAUGGCAACGAGCAGGGUGAGCUCAAGGACUCCCGGAAACCCGGCUGGCUCGGUCCUGAAGAAUUCCCAGACGGACAGAGUAGCUGCGGACAGAGUGGCACCUGCGGGCACAGGCGCAGCCCCAGCGCUGCUGGGGGUAGAGGAAGCGAAACUGCCCCCGAUUGCCGCGAUGCCUCCUUUCCUGGACGGACUGGGGAUGGAGACGGCGGCCCGCGGGGCCCCGGCGGGGUGUCCGGGGCGGGGAGCGGCGCUGAGCCCGCCCCGCGCUCUGCCCCUUGACGUGGCGCGGACUCUCCCAUCAGCCAUGU
Molecule: long non-coding RNA, 1260 nt
Organism: Empidonax traillii (willow flycatcher)
Lineage: Eukaryota; Metazoa; Chordata; Aves; Passeriformes; Tyrannidae
Exons: 3
Source: RefSeq, a predicted model, not a curated record